Molecule: ribosomal RNA, 1444 nt
Filed under: Petractis luetkemuelleri
Lineage: Eukaryota; Fungi; Ascomycota; Lecanoromycetes; Ostropales; Gyalectaceae
Description: partial small subunit ribosomal RNA
Rfam family: Eukaryotic small subunit ribosomal RNA
Source: RNAcentral
UCGUUUAUUUGAUAGUACCUUUUACAUGGAUAACCGUGGUAAUUCUAGAGCUAAUACAUGCUAAAAACCCCAACUUCGGAAGGGGUGUAUUUAUUAGAUUAAAAGCCAACGCCCUUCGGGGCUCUUUGGUGAUUCAUAAUAACUAAACGAAUCGCAUGGCCUUGCGCCGGCGAUGGUUCAUUCAAAUUUCUGCCCUAUCAACUUUCGAUGGUAAGGUAGUGGCUUACCAUGGUCUCGACGGGUAACGGGGAAUUAGGGUUCGAUUCCGGAGAGGGAGCCUGAGAGACGUAAGUUUUACCAUUCCGUCCGAUCGAUUUCAAGAUGCUAAAUUUUCACAGGGCUACCACAUCCAAGGAAGGCAGCAGGCGCGCAAAUUACCCAAUCCCGACCCGGGGAGGUAGUGACAAUACGUACUGAUGCGGAGCUCUUUUGGGUUUCGCAAUCGGAAUGAGUACAAUCUAAAUCCCUUAACGAGGAACAAUUGGAGGGCAAGUCUGGUGCCAGCAGCCGCGGUAAUUCCAGCUCCAAUAGCGUAUAUUAAAGUUGUUGCGGUUAAAAAGCUCGUAGUUGAACCUUGGGCCUGGCUGUCCGGUCCGCCUCACCGCGUGCACUGGUUCGGCCGGGCCUUUCCUCCUGGGGAUCCCCAUGCCCUUCGCUGGGCGUGCGGGGGAACCAGGACUUUUACUUUGAAAAAAUUAGAGUGUUCAAAGCAGGCAUAUGCUCGAAUACAUUAGCAUGGAAUAAUAGAAUAGGACGUGCGUCCCUAUUUUGUUGGUUUCUAGGGACGCCGUAAUGAUUAAUAGGGAUAGUCGGGGGCAUCAGUAUUCAAUUGUCAGAGGUGAAAUUCUUGGAUUUAUUGAAGACUAACUACUGCGAAAGCAUUUGCCAAGGAUGUUUUCAUUAAUCAGUGAACGAAAGUUAGGGGAUCGAAGACGAUCAGAUACCGUCGUAGUCUUAACCAUAAACUAUGCCGACUAGGGAUCGGACGGUCUUAUUAUUUUGACCCGUUCGGCACCUUACGAGAAAUCAAAGUUUUUGGGUUCCGGGGGGAGUAUGGUCGCAAGGCUGAAACUUAAAGAAAUUGACGGAAAGGCACCACCAGGCGUGGAGCCUGCGGCUUAAUUUGACUCAACACGGGGAAACUCACCAGGUCCAGACACAAUAAGGAUUGACAGAUUGAGAGCUCUUUCUUGAUCUUGUGGUUGGUUUUGCUGUGCAUCGCCAGCCCUUACAGUUGCUUUACGCUAGUCCGCUCUGCCCGGGCGACGUUCCUCUGAUGCUGAGAGCCGCCCUCGCGGUAUCAGCAGCCGUGGCGCUGCCUGCCCGGUUCACAGACUAAACACGAACGGGCCACCGCCCGCGGCGCAGUUGCCCUGUGCCGUCGUCGCGGUUGGUUUAAGAUAUAGCCGAACCCCGGGGCUCANGCUCCGGGUGGAAGUGGGUG